Erpetoichthys calabaricus (reedfish) is the source of this 476-nucleotide long non-coding RNA. RefSeq lists it as uncharacterized. The record is from RefSeq and is a predicted model, not a curated record. The transcript is spliced from 2 exons. NCBI's taxonomy places the organism in Eukaryota, Metazoa, Chordata, Cladistia, Polypteriformes, Polypteridae.
UAAACCUGCAGCCACAGUAGCCCUCCAGGACCAGAGCUGGACACCCCUGAAAGACACACAUGUAAAGUGACCAACAGGCCACCUCACCAGACAGCUGAUGGCUUCUUAAAAGCAACCCCUGUGAAAAGACCCCCAAUGACAGCCACUGUAACCCCACAGCUCUUCUCUUCAUGUAGGACUCUGGGAAGUCAAACUUUGUGAAAGGUUCUGCUUGGACACAAAGUCACAGAGAGAUAGAAACAUGUAGACCACAGGUACGUGAUGACUAAAGCCUUUAAAGACACUCGGCACAUUCUGUUCUGCUCAUUCUUGGUGGGCUCUCCUGCUGAACACUUCUUGUCUGACAUCUCUAAGAGGACCUGAAGACUGUCUGUGGUGAAGAGGAACAGCCAAGACAUAAAGUGAGAGCUGGUACUGAAGCUCCAGUUGUCCUCCUGCUGUCAUCUGAGUCUCUGAGUGGUGAGGAGUUUUUACAG